RNAcentral lists this unclassified non-coding RNA (617 nucleotides) under Hevea brasiliensis (rubber tree). Lineage: Eukaryota; Viridiplantae; Streptophyta; Magnoliopsida; Malpighiales; Euphorbiaceae. The record is from RNAcentral.
ACGAACAUUCACUGUUGUGGGACCUGUCGAACGCAAACUGCACAUCAUCAAUAUAUCACCCAUAGUGGCUCAAUUUACUUGCCAACAAAUUUCGUUACAGGAACAUUUUUCUGUCUCAAUUCUCCAGUAUUAUAGCUCAAGAUAUUAACAAUUAUUGAGCUUCUAACAAAUUUGCAAGGAAAACCUUUGCAGAAAUUAUAUAUAUUUGCAUAAAAAGAUCCUACUUAUUAAACCAAACAUCAAAACAAGAAAAACAGACUCCAAAGACAACUUCAUUUCUUCCUCGGUUAUUAAACUAGACCAUUAGCCAAGCAAAAUGCUUCAGAUAUGAUUCCAAAUCGCCAAAAAACAAUAUAUUAAAAGCAACUCAAAAUAGUGAAAUGGCAUUCUUCGCGAGUCAACAGAUUCUGAACUAACUUCUAAUUUUCCACUUCCAAAAACAAAACCCAUCCACCAAAACAGUGAGCGAGUAUACCCAUUUACCUUUUUUUUCUCUCAUGUUCUCAUCAGACAACCAGAGAACGCAAACAAAAAUCAACGUCAAAGACAGUAACAAAAAGAAGAGAGAUAAGAGACAGAAAACAGAUAGAACAGACCAUCGCCUUCUUGGGUCAAAG